UACGGAAGGGGCAAGCGUUGUUCGGAAUCAUUGGGCGUAAAGGGCGCGUAGGUGGUUCUGUAUGUCUACCGUGAAAGCGUACGGCUCAACCGUAUUUUGUCGGUAGAAACUGCAGGACUUGAGGCUGGGAGGGGCUGGUGGAAUUCCCUGUGUAGCGGUGAAAUGCGUAGAGAUGGGGGAGAACACUCGUGGAGAAGGCGGCCAGCUAGACCAGUCCUGACACUGAGGCGCGACAGCGUGGGGAGAAAACAGG
RNAcentral lists this ribosomal RNA (253 nucleotides) under uncultured bacterium. Its description in RNAcentral is "partial 16S ribosomal RNA". It matches the Rfam family "Bacterial small subunit ribosomal RNA", at positions 524 to 776 of the family's 1533-position model. The record is from RNAcentral.